GUUUUCUGCAGCUGACUGCGUCCUACAGUGUGAAACUCUUUCUGAGUUUCGUGACAGCAGUGUGAGGAGCUGCAGUGCUGUCCCACCGUUUGGAGGGAAGCAUUACCUGACUUUUGAGACGGUCUCACUGGUCCCAUACGACAGGAAGCUAAUCAACACUGCCCUCAUGAGCAGAGAACAGAUUGAGUGAUUGGAUGCGUACUACCAGAAGAUCCGCAGCGAGGUGGGCCCCAGGCUGGACAGGCAGGGAUUGAAGGAGGAGCACGGCUGGGUAAUGAAACACACAGAGCCCUUUACCUUAGGAAGUAUCCUGGUGAUAGCCUCCUCAUUCACACUGACCGCUGUGCUCCUGUCCAGUACCCUCCUCCGGCGCCGUCUGUUCUAGAGCGCAGCAGGGAGACUGUGGGACGGAUUUCUCUGGGGUGAAAGAGUCUGGAUAACUAUUUCUCAGAAUGCUCUUUCCUAGCUAAAAAUGACAUCGGAUCUGAAAUCAGGCACAAAGGCUACAAUGAUACUGAAUGUGUUAGUUCAGAAAGUCAGUUUAAAAUGAUCUGUAUGGUUAUGCAAAUUCUUUUUAUUUUUUUAGGUCUAGUUUUCCUAUGCGUGCCCACAAUUGCAUUGCAAGUGCUGUAAGAGGAAGUUUAUUUUUUUGAAUAUAGAGCAAAACAGCUUGCUUUCAUUCUGAGCCCUAGGAAAUUGUUUAUAUGCAAUAAAAAAUGAUAAUUCAUUCUGAAA
Molecule: long non-coding RNA, 735 nt
Organism: Polyodon spathula (Mississippi paddlefish)
Lineage: Eukaryota; Metazoa; Chordata; Actinopteri; Acipenseriformes; Polyodontidae
Exons: 3
Source: RefSeq, a predicted model, not a curated record